AUUGAACGCUGGCGGAAUGCUUUACACAUGCAAGUCGAACAGCAGCACGGACUUCGGUCUGGUGGCGAGUGGCGAACGGGUGAGUAAUGUAUCGGAACGUGCCCAGUCGUGGGGGAUAACGUAGUGAAAAUUACGCUAAUACCGCAUACGAUCUAUGGAUGAAAGCGGGGGAUCGCAAGACCUCGCGCGAUUGGAGUGGCCGAUAUCAGAUUAGGUAGUUGGUGGGGCAAAGGCCCACCAAGCCAACGAUCUGUAGCUGGUCUGAGAGGACGACCAGCCACACUGGAACUGAGACACGGUCCAGACUCCUACGGGAGGCAGCAGUGGGGAAUUUUGGACAAUGGGCGAAAGCCUGAUCCAGCCAUUCCGCGUGCAGGAUGAAGGCCCUCGGGUUGUAAACUGCUUUUGUACAGAACGAAAAGGUUUCUACUAAUACUAGGAGCUCAUGACGGUACUGUAAGAAUAAGCACCGGCUAACUACGUGCCAGCCGCCGCAGUAA
RNAcentral lists this ribosomal RNA (500 nucleotides) under uncultured bacterium. RNAcentral describes it as "partial 16S ribosomal RNA". It matches the Rfam family "Bacterial small subunit ribosomal RNA", at positions 30 to 523 of the family's 1533-position model. The record is from RNAcentral.